This 736-nucleotide ribosomal RNA is filed under the name uncultured Actinomycetales bacterium. RNAcentral describes it as "bacterial SSU rRNA". It matches the Rfam family "Bacterial small subunit ribosomal RNA", at positions 28 to 776 of the family's 1533-position model. The record is from RNAcentral. Lineage: Bacteria; Bacillati; Actinomycetota; Actinomycetes; Actinomycetales.
GACGAACGCUGGCGGCGUGCUUAACACAUGCAAGUCGAACGAUGAUGCCGUGCUUGCACGGUUGAUUAGUGGCGAACGGGUGAGUAACACGUGAGUAACCUGCCCCUCACUUUGGGAUAACUCCGGGAAACCGGGGCUAAUACUGGAUAUGAGCCUUCCUCGCAUGGGGUUGGUUGGAAAGGGUUUCUGGUGGGGGAUGGGCUCGCGGCCUAUCAGCUUGUUGGUGGGGUGAUGGCCUACCAAGGCUUCGACGGGUAGCCGGCCUGAGAGGGCGACCGGCCACAUUGGGACUGAGAUACGGCCCAGACUCCUACGGGAGGCAGCAGUGGGGAAUAUUGCACAAUGGGCGAAAGCCUGAUGCAGCGACGCCGCGUGAGGGAUGGAGGCCUUCGGGUUGUAAACCUCUUUCGGCAGGGAAGAAGCGUUAAGUGACGGUACCUGCAGAAGAAGCGCCGGCUAACUACGUGCCAGCAGCCGCGGUAAUACGUAGGGCGCAAGCGUUGUCCGGAAUUAUUGGGCGUAAAGAGCUCGUAGGUGGUUUGUCGCGUCUGGUGUGAAAUCCCGGGGCUUAACUUCGGGCGUGCAUCGGGUACGGGCAGGCUAGAGUGCGGUAGGGGAGACUGGAAUUCCUGGUGUAGCGGUGGAAUGCGCAGAUAUCAGGAGGAACACCGAUGGCGAAGGCAGGUCUCUGGGCCGCAACUGACGCUGAGGAGCGAAAGCAUGGGGAGCGAACAGG